AAAGAAAAACGAAGAAAGAAAAAAGAAAAAAGCCUCUCUCUCUCGAUCUCGAUUCCUUUCUUCUUCGUCGAAAUCGACCAAUUUCAUCUUCAUCAAUUUCACACUCUAAAUCUCGAUUAAUUUUUACUCAAUUUCGAUUCUAGAGUACAGAGCUUGGAUUUGGUUGAUUGAAUACUGAAUCAUCUUUACCCUUUAACCCUAAAUUCGAAAUUGGGAGAACUGAUUGAACCACCACCACCAUUACAAACUUCGUCCUCUGCUUUCUACAUCGAAAUUGGGUGGAUUGAUUGAACCACCAUCACCAACUUCAUUAACGAUGCUAAACAGAACGACCUGACAUCGAGGAAUGCCUUUGGACUUGAGUGGCCUGAACCAUUGGCUAUAUUUGCACUCUCAUGCGGAAGUUGGUCUUCACCCGCAAUAAGCACUCUCUAUCGUUGAUAAAUGCAACAAAAACUGUACAACAACCUCGGACCUUCCAGGUUAGAUAUGUAUCAGAAAAAGGUAGUCGAGUAUUUUGAAUGUUCUGCAGCGGUUCUAUUAUUUUGUUACAAACUUGGUCCACAAAAUGUUUUCAUAAUAUUGAUACUUGGCGCAGGUCCUGCCACUUUCUCUGAGAUGAAAACCAUUGUUCAAGUAGGCUAAUGCUUCACUAUUUGUGUUGGUUAGUGUUAGUAAUAUUUCUUUGAUGGUAGACUUUCUAUUUGCUAAAUCCAUUUAGAUUAAUCUAUCAAAAUGAAGUGGUUGAUUGGUCCAAACUAUCUCUAUGUCGGCUCUGAAUCAUCUUUAUGUCUACAUCAAAAUAAAGGGGUAACUUCAUAAAACAUACAUGUUCGUCAUUUACGUUAGAGGUUACACGUCUCUCCCUGUAUAGAAAAUGGUUGAGAAAUUUGUAAUCAAUACAAAUAAUUUUUUUUUUGUUCUUUGUCGAUGCAAUUUGUUGUCUAAUGUGAACGAAA
Molecule: long non-coding RNA, 959 nt
Organism: Papaver somniferum (opium poppy)
Lineage: Eukaryota; Viridiplantae; Streptophyta; Magnoliopsida; Ranunculales; Papaveraceae
Exons: 2
Source: RefSeq, a predicted model, not a curated record